Molecule: transfer RNA, 66 nt
Filed under: bovine gut metagenome
Rfam family: tRNA
About the family: Transfer RNA (tRNA) molecules are approximately 80 nucleotides in length.
Source: RNAcentral
GCUUAGCUCAAUUGGUAGAGCGUCAGCCUUACAAGCUGAGGGUUAUAGGUUCGAGUCCUAUAGCGC